RNAcentral lists this ribosomal RNA (292 nucleotides) under uncultured bacterium. Its description in RNAcentral is "partial 16S ribosomal RNA". It matches the Rfam family "Bacterial small subunit ribosomal RNA", at positions 505 to 796 of the family's 1533-position model. The record is from RNAcentral.
GUGUCAGCCGCCGCGGUAAUACGGAGGAUGCAAGCGUUAUCCGGAUUCAUUGGGUUUAAAGGGUGCGUAGGCGGGACAAUAAGUCAGUGGUGAAAGCCUGCGGCUUAACCGUAGAAUUGCCAUUGAUACUGCUGUUCUUGAGUACAGUUGAGGUGGGCGGAAUGUGUAAUGUAGCGGUGAAAUGCUUAGAUAUUACACAGAACACCGAUUGCGAAGGCAGCUCACUAAGCUGUUACUGACGCUGAGGCACGAAAGCGUGGGGAGCAAACAGGAUUAGAUACCCUUGUAGUCC